RNAcentral lists this microRNA precursor (139 nucleotides) under Gossypium arboreum. RNAcentral describes it as "MIR7502 microRNA precursor family". It matches the Rfam family "MIR7502 microRNA precursor family". The record is from Rfam by way of RNAcentral. Lineage: Eukaryota; Viridiplantae; Streptophyta; Magnoliopsida; Malvales; Malvaceae.
UGUGAAAAAAUUCAUUCGUUUUUAUUGUUAAAAUUUAGCGUGGUUGAUGAAUUAACCAAACAGUUACACGUGUCACAUGUACCAUAUUCUGACAUACAAGAACUAGUUUUUAAUAGUGGAUUGGAUGAAAUUUUUAACA